AAGAUUUUAGGUUAUAAGACCAUGGGCCUUCAAAGCCUAAAGAGAAAACAUAUUUCAAAUCUUG
RNAcentral lists this transfer RNA (64 nucleotides) under Pomacea maculata. RNAcentral describes it as "tRNA-Trp". Lineage: Eukaryota; Metazoa; Mollusca; Gastropoda; Architaenioglossa; Ampullariidae. RNAcentral also lists the same sequence under 1 other name. The record is from RNAcentral.